Long non-coding RNA from Peromyscus eremicus (cactus mouse), 263 nucleotides. RefSeq lists it as uncharacterized. The transcript is spliced from 2 exons. NCBI's taxonomy places the organism in Eukaryota, Metazoa, Chordata, Mammalia, Rodentia, Cricetidae. The record is from RefSeq and is a predicted model, not a curated record.
AGGUACUUUUAUAGACGGCACACAGAGAUGUGGGACCAGACAUGACGAGCAGGUCUUGUGCAGGUCUCCGCAGCCACGUGAGCUCGUGACUACAAUGGCCAUGUCGUGUCCAGAAGACAGUGACUGGGAGAACUUCUGAAAAGCUCUCUUCCUCCCCUUUUGGAAUGUCUAUUGUAUUAUUGUUAACUAUAGACCUGUGACCACUGGUCCGUGGUUCCUUAGACGGUUGUUUGGUAUAAAAUAUGUUGUGUUUGAACAUGAAA